This 253-nucleotide ribosomal RNA is filed under the name uncultured bacterium. RNAcentral describes it as "partial 16S ribosomal RNA". It matches the Rfam family "Bacterial small subunit ribosomal RNA", at positions 524 to 776 of the family's 1533-position model. The record is from RNAcentral.
UACGUAGGGUGCGAGCGUUGUCCGGAUUUAUUGGGCGUAAAGAGCGUGUAGGCGGCCUGGUAGGUCAGCUGUGAAAACUCGAGGCUCAACCUCGAGACGUCGGUUGAAACCACUUGGCUAGAGUCCGGAAGAGGAGAGCGGAAUUCCCGGUGUAGCGGUGAAAUGCGCAGAUAUCGGGAAGAACACCCGUGGCGAAGGCGGCUCUCUGGGACGGUACUGACGCUGAGACGCGAAAGCGUGGGGAGCGAACAGG